UGCCAACCGCCAUAUCAAGUCUGGAAGUCCCGCCUCCCAUCAAUUCAUUGGUUCUCACAACGAACAUACUUCCCGUACUUCCUGUAAACAAAUGCCAACGUGGGUGCUUGAAAGAUGAAUGAGGAGAGAUGUAUCGUGGAAGUAGAGAAGUACUCACUGUUAUAUGACCUGUCUUCAAAAUUCUACAAGGAUGCAACUAAAAAAGAUACGUUCUGGAGAGAGAUUGCAAAGACCAUGCGCACUUCAGAUGUUGAAUUGUGCAAAACCAGAUGGAAGUCCCUCCGUGACACUUUUGUAAGGCACCUACGGAAGGCCCAACCCAGCGGUUCUGGGGGAACCAAUCAGAAAGAAUGGAAAUACAUGAAAAUAUUAUCAUUCUUGAUACCUUACGUCCAGCCAAGAAGGCCUGCCCCACCAGCUCUCAGGUCAAAGCCAGACCCUCGUUGCUUGUGAUUUGUGGCCCAAGUAACAAUGGAGGAGAUGGCCUGGUCUGUGCCAGACAUCUCAAAUUCUUUGUGAGUGUCUCAUCCUUCUCAUCCAAUAUGUUUCUGAAAAUCAAGGCAUGCAGUAGAGAUUAGAGAAUUGGUUCAUGUUAUAAUGAACCAAUUCUUCUUAAAGGCAUCUAUUGCUUUUGGAAUCAAUGCUGUGUUGUGCUUUUUCUGUAAUAGUGACUGUCAAAUAGGCCAAUUAGUAUUUAUUACUAAGUAACAUACCUACAGUCUGUGGUUCUGAGUGUAUACUGACUAUGCUUUGUACCUACUAUUCUGUACCCAAAGAGGCCAAAUAAACCAUUGUUCCAGGGCCUGACCACCCAGUGUGAGAAGAUAGACAUCCCUUUCUUGACUGAGAUGCCUGAGGUAGUACUGGGCCAUGGCUCCUGUGUUAAUCUCACAGCAGUCUAUUUGGUUGUUAGGUGUGUGUCCUGACUCCUGGGCUACCUCACAUGAGUUUAUCUGUGAGUGCCAGUGUUGUUGUA
Molecule: long non-coding RNA, 976 nt
Organism: Coregonus clupeaformis (lake whitefish)
Lineage: Eukaryota; Metazoa; Chordata; Actinopteri; Salmoniformes; Salmonidae
Exons: 3
Source: RefSeq, a predicted model, not a curated record